UUCUGGCUCAGGAUGAACGCUGGCGGCGUGCCUAACACAUGCAAGUCGAACGAAGCACUGGAAACGGAGAUUCGUCAAAGUUCCUUUGACUUAGUGGCGGACGGGUGAGUAAUGCGUGAGCAACCUGCCUUUCAGAGGGGGACAACAGUUGGAAACGACUGCUAAUACCGCAUAAUGUAUUUAGGAGGCAUCUCCCGGAUACCAAAGGAGCAAUCCGCUGAAAGAUGGGCUCACGUCUGAUUAGCUAGUUGGUGAGGUAACGGCUCACCAAGGCUGCGAUCAGUAGCCGGACUGAGAGGUUGAACGGCCACAUUGGGACUGAGAUACGGCCCAGACUCCUACGGGAGGCAGCAGUGGGGAAUAUUGGGCAAUGGGCGAAAGCCCUGACCCAGCAACGCCGCGUGAAGGAAGAAGGUCUUCGGAUUGUAAACUUCUUUUAUGAGGGACGAAGGACGUGACGGUACCUCAUGAAUAAGCCACGGCUAACUACGUGCCAGCCGCGGC
This 504-nucleotide ribosomal RNA is filed under the name uncultured bacterium. RNAcentral's name for it is "bacterial SSU rRNA". It matches the Rfam family "Bacterial small subunit ribosomal RNA", at positions 17 to 518 of the family's 1533-position model. The record is from RNAcentral.